CCUACGGGUGGCAGCAGUAGGGAAUAUUUCUCAAUGGGGGAAACCCUGAAGCAGCAACGCCGCGUGCAGGAUGAAGGUUUUCGGAUUGUAAACUCCUUUUGUGAGAGAAGAUAAUGACGGUAUCUCACGAAUAAGCAUCGGCUAACUCCGUGCCAGCAGCCGCGGUAAUACGGAGGGUGCAAGCGUUACCCGGAAUCACUGGGCGUAAAGAGUGCGCAGGGGGGCUUGAAAGUCAGAUGAGAAAUGCUGUAGCUUAACUACAGCACUGGAUUUGAAAAUAUGAGUCGAGAGUGGGGGAGAGGUAGGUGGAAUUCUUGUUGAAGGGGUAAAAUCCGUAGAUAUCGAGAGGAAAACUCAUUGCGGAGGCGACCUACUGGAACAUUACUGACGCUCAUGCACGAAAGCGUGGGGAGCAAACAGGAUUAGAUACCGUGUAGUC
This 439-nucleotide ribosomal RNA is filed under the name uncultured bacterium. RNAcentral's name for it is "partial 16S ribosomal RNA". It matches the Rfam family "Bacterial small subunit ribosomal RNA", at positions 338 to 795 of the family's 1533-position model. The record is from RNAcentral.